This 407-nucleotide ribosomal RNA is filed under the name uncultured bacterium. RNAcentral describes it as "partial 16S ribosomal RNA". It matches the Rfam family "Bacterial small subunit ribosomal RNA", at positions 30 to 526 of the family's 1533-position model. The record is from RNAcentral.
AUUGAACGCUGGCGGCAGGCCUAACACAUGCAAGUCGAGCGGAGCGGCGGACGGGUGAGUAAUGCCUAGGAAUGUGCCUGGUAGAGGGGGAUAACGUCCGGCAAGGGGCGCUAAUACCGCAUACUAUCAGAUGAGCCUAGGUCGGAUUAGCUAGUUGGUGGGGUAAAGGCCUACCAAGGCGACGAUCCGUAACUGGUCUGAGAGGAUGAUCAGUCACACUGGAACUGAGACACGGUCCAGACUCCUACGGGAGGCAGCAGUGGGGAAUAUUGGACAAUGGGCGAAAGCCUGAUGCAGCCAUGCCGCGUGUGUGAAGAAGGCCUUCGGAUUGUAAAGCACUUUAAGUUGGGAGGCGUUACCAACAGAAUAAGCACCGGCUAACUUCGUGCCAGCAGCCGCGGUAAUUC